Molecule: long non-coding RNA, 1358 nt
Organism: Aegilops tauschii subsp. strangulata
Lineage: Eukaryota; Viridiplantae; Streptophyta; Magnoliopsida; Poales; Poaceae
Source: RefSeq, a predicted model, not a curated record
CGCCCGAGCUUGCUAUGUUAUCGGCGUUGGUUGCUUUGUAAUACAAAGCGGGGGACCCUUUUUCGGUAAUCUAUAGCCCGCUAUAGCCUUUUCAGCAGGGUGGCGCUAAAUGGUUGUCUUUACAAAUAACCCGCUAUAGCUGGUUUGGAGGUCCACCGCUAUUUUCCAUAGCCCGCUAUUUAAAACAUUAUUAAUAUUCCGAUGCUUGGAUAGCGAUGUGUCUUUGUGAAGCUGGGGAUGAAUGAUGGCUCCUUGCUCCAUAGCACUCAACUAAAAGUUUGCAAAAUGAGGUUUAUCGCCGGCUCAUAGGAUAAUUAAAAUCUUGUUAAAAAUCACAUCAAAUGUAAGACCUUUUAAAAAAGAGGAGAAUUAAGAUCUUUGUCAUGAUGAAGAAGCUCUCACUGACGCAGGAAUUUCCUACAUAGUCCUCUGUUAAGCUGUCACCAGGUGCUUAUUAUUUCGACCUUGAUUUAUUCUGACGAACGGAUGAAACAUCGUGUAUACACUGCAGGCAGGCAAAGAAGAGUAGUUUCCCUGUGUAGGGUUGUGUAAAAGCUACAGGGAUGUAUGUGUUCCUCCAAGCACCAACCGAUCAACGUUUGCAAGUGAAGCAGGGGGCUCUCCCACGGCAACGUCGGCGUCCACAGGCGGCUGCAGCUCAUGCACCAAAGUGGUGCGGCGCUCUCGACCUCCAUCGCCGACGCGCACGGCGCCCUCACCGAUGGAACCGUCGCAUCUAGGGCGUGGCAUCCUGAGAGAUGAGACCCAGGAAGGAACGCGCCUCGUCGGAGCAGGAAGGCCUCCCAAUUUGCUGACUCUAUCUGUGUCAUUUUUUCGAUCUGUCAUCAUUCGGGGAAGCAUGGGGUUCUUCGUCGCGCUAAAGGUGUUCGAUGGAAUGUGUCUGUGGCACGGCUCCAUCUUACAGGUGACCUCAGUCAACAAGAGAGAUGGGGAUCAAGGUUUCCCACUGGCUCUGCGCUGAUAAACAAGCAGCUAGUGCAUGAAGCUCAGGAAGAAAUGUGCAGACCAAGGGGCCACAAGUCUAUGGCGAGUGGCGGAGCAAGUAUUUAACAUAUCGAAAGGUUGUGCAUGGGCAAGUCGGCAGCUCGUAUGAUUUCUUUUAUGAUAGAUCUUCUCACAAAUUGCAUUGAUUUUCAUUUUAGGAUGUAAUAAAACACUAGGAUGGUGGCGUUUGUUUAACACUUUCCCCUUAUUAUUGUUGAGCACCAAGUCCAACUCAGCAAUAUGUAAGUGCGCUUUCUUUUAUGCUUUUUUGCAGGAACCCUUUUCUUUUAUGGCUAGACUAUAUAACUUUUCGUUUAUUAAACCGGGGUUCAAUCCCCUUUCAUUAAGAAAAA